Long non-coding RNA from Ipomoea nil (Japanese morning glory), 327 nucleotides. RefSeq lists it as uncharacterized. The record is from RefSeq and is a predicted model, not a curated record. NCBI's taxonomy places the organism in Eukaryota, Viridiplantae, Streptophyta, Magnoliopsida, Solanales, Convolvulaceae. The transcript is spliced from 3 exons.
GUUGUCUUCUCCCCACACUUCCCUCUUAGAGAGGUGGAAGACCAAAAUCUCUUUAGCUUCAACCUUCAAAAUUGUGGAGGAGAUACUAGAGGCCAAGCCUAAGUGUUAGGAGGGGAUUCUUGCUUGAGGAUAAUAUCCUUGGAGGUCCAGAAUUUUGAUUGCUUUUGAGAGCGCGCCGUAGUUGUGAUAGGUUUCAUACUUUCCUCGGUGUAGAUUUGACUUGUUAUGCUUGUAGUUAGGUGUUUUGUUGGGUUGUUGAUGAACCCUUUAAAUACUUUAACUUUCUUUUCUUUUAGACUUUUAAUUUUGAGAAGAUUGUAAGGUUAA